GAUGAACGCUGGCGGCGUGCCUAAUACAUGCAAGUCGAGCGAACAGACGAGGAGCUUGCUCCUCUGACGUUAGCGGCGGACGGGUGAGUAACACGUGGAUAACCUACCUAUAAGACUGGGAUAACUUCGGGAAACCGGAGCUAAUACCGGAUAAUAUAUUGAACCGCAUGGUUCAAUAGUGAAAGACGGUUUUGCUGUCACUUAUAGAUGGAUCCGCGCCGCAUUAGCUAGUUGGUAAGGUAACGGCUUACCAAGGCGACGAUGCGUAGCCGACCUGAGAGGGGGAGCGGCAACAGUGGACAGGAGACCGGGUCCAGACUCCGACGGGAGGCAGCGGGGGGAAUCCUCCCGAAAAGGGCGAAACGUAGAGGGAGCAGCGACGGGGGAGUGAAAAGGGGCUUGGCAUCGAAAACCGUUGUUAUGGGGAAAGAACAAGUGUGAAGGUAUAAAUGCAGUUCUUGACGGUACAAAAAGAAAAAGCAGCGGCAAACUACGU
This 496-nucleotide ribosomal RNA is filed under the name uncultured bacterium. RNAcentral's name for it is "partial 16S ribosomal RNA". It matches the Rfam family "Bacterial small subunit ribosomal RNA", at positions 28 to 506 of the family's 1533-position model. The record is from RNAcentral.